Pelobates cultripes (western spadefoot toad) is the source of this 1175-nucleotide non-coding RNA. NCBI's taxonomy places the organism in Eukaryota, Metazoa, Chordata, Amphibia, Anura, Pelobatidae. The record is from the annotation of a GenBank genome assembly.
CCACAAUCUUUGUGUUUGACUGCUGUAUAUAUGUGACACGCAAGUCUGCAUGCACUGUGUCUUUUAUGCCAUUUACUCUAACCAUUUUUUUUUUUUUUUGUGUGUGACAACUCUGACAAGCAUGUUCUCCUAUGGGACACAAGGCGGAUGAAGAGGCCUAUGUUUCAUGCUCAUAUUCAGGGUAGAGUAUUGAAUUCAGAGUGGCAUCUGGUACGUGAUAAGCUUCUCCAGUUAGCACUCGACUUCAACAUUGUUUACUGUGACCACUGUCUGGUUCAGAGGUAGGUAAUCUUAGGCACUCUAGAUGCUGUGAAUUACAUCUCCCAUAAUGCUGGCAAAGCAUCAUGGGAGGUGUAGUCCAAAACAUCUGGAGUACCGAAUGCCUAUGAAUGAAAAGUGGUGUGUGAAUGGUCCGUAACAAGGGUUGAAGCCUUGACGUGGCGUUACUGCUCACAUGUGUAUCCAUGUGCCAAUUGAACCAAUGUGAGGGACUGCAAUACUUAUGUGGUUACCAAAAAUACUGUGACUGUGGAGAAUGAAGCACCUGUAUCACCUUAACACUGCUUAUACUGUGACCAUAUCGCCUAAAUACUGCUUACACUAUGACCUUAUCACCUUAACACUGCUUAUUCUGUGAUCGUAUCGCCUAAACACUGCUUACACAGUGACCGUAUCACCUAAACACUGCUUACACUGUGACCGUAUCUCCUACACACUGCUUAUACUGUGACUGUAUCACCUAAAUACUGCUUACACUGUGACCGUAUCACAUAAACACUGCUUACACAGUUACUGUAUCACCUAAACACUGCUUAUACUGUGAUCGUAUUGCCUAAACACUGCUUAUACUGUGAUCGUAUCACCUAAACACUGCUUACGCUGUGACCGUAUCACCUAAACACUGCUUACGCUGUGACCGUAUCACCUAAACACUGCUUACACUGUGACCGUAUCUCCUAAACACUGCUUACACUGUGACCGUAUCUCCUACACACUGCUUAUACUGUGACUGUAUCUCCUAAACACUGCUUACACAGUGACUGCAUCUCCUAAACACUGCUUACAUAGUGACUGCAUCUCCUAAACACUGCUUACACUGUGACCGCAUCUAUCGCCUAAACACCACUGUAUUGCCUAAACACUGCUUACACUGUGAUCGUAUUGUCUAAACACUG